AUCGCUGCUCAGCCUUUUGGCUAAGAUCAAGUGUAGUAUCUGUUCUUAUCAACUUGGGAGACAUGGCUCUCAGUGAGUCCAGUCUGUGACCCAGUAUAAGAAUCUCCAUCAUAACAUCCAGGGCAAGCUAAUGGUCACUCAGUCUCUGAGCUUGUCUAUUUAUU
Vulpes vulpes (red fox) is the source of this 164-nucleotide small nuclear RNA. Its record names the gene U2. It matches the Rfam family "U2 spliceosomal RNA". Rfam says of the family: U2 is a small nuclear RNA (snRNA) component of the spliceosome (involved in pre-mRNA splicing). Complementary binding between U2 snRNA (in an area lying towards the 5' end but 3' to hairpin I) and the branchpoint sequence (BPS) of the intron results the bulging out of an unpaired adenosine, on the BPS, which initiates a nucleophilic attack at the intronic 5' splice site, thus starting the first of two transesterification reactions that mediate splicing. The record is from Ensembl. NCBI's taxonomy places the organism in Eukaryota, Metazoa, Chordata, Mammalia, Carnivora, Canidae.